Molecule: ribosomal RNA, 432 nt
Filed under: uncultured bacterium
Lineage: Bacteria
Description: partial 16S ribosomal RNA
Rfam family: Bacterial small subunit ribosomal RNA
Source: RNAcentral
GCGAACGCUGGCGGCAGGCCUAACACUUGCAAGUCGAACGGAUCCUUCGGGAUUAGUGGCGGACGGGUGAGUAACACGUGGGAACGUGCCCUUUGGUUCGGAACAACUCAGGGAAACUUGAGCUAAUACCGGAUGUGCCCUUCGGGGGAAAGAUUUAUCGCCAUUGGAGCGGCCCGCGUCUGAUUAGCUAGUUGGUGAGGUAACGGCCCACCAAGGCGACGAUCAGUAGCUGGUCUGAGAGGAUGAUCAGCCACACUGGGACUGAGACACGGCCCAGACUCCUACGGGAGGCAGCAGUGGGGAAUCUUGCGCAAUGGGCGAAAGCCUGACGCAGCCAUGCCGCGUGAAUGAUGAAGGUCUUAGGAUUGUAAAAUUCUUUCAGCGGGGACGAUAAUGACGGUACCCGCAGAAGAAGCUCCGGCUAACUUCGUG